This is a long non-coding RNA of Engraulis encrasicolus (European anchovy), 254 nucleotides long. RefSeq lists it as uncharacterized. Lineage: Eukaryota; Metazoa; Chordata; Actinopteri; Clupeiformes; Engraulidae. The transcript is spliced from 3 exons. The record is from RefSeq and is a predicted model, not a curated record.
UCAGGCUCUCAGCAUCAGCAGAAUACAAUAAGGUCCUGGAGUCCUUCAAUGAAACCAUGCCGGCGUGUACCAUUCUCAGCAUCCACAGGAUACAGAAUGUGAAUUUGUGGAAUUUUUUCAUGUUGCAAAUGGAUGCUAUGAAAGCCAAGGCUGAUGAAGACGUUGCUGAGAGACUCCUCUUCCAUGGAUCCUAUUUUGCCAAAGACGCAAAGUACUCUAACGGAUACACAAGUACAUCGGGGACCAGGUCCAUG